Cyprinus carpio carpio is the source of this 2723-nucleotide long non-coding RNA. The record is from Ensembl. Lineage: Eukaryota; Metazoa; Chordata; Actinopteri; Cypriniformes; Cyprinidae.
AUCUUUAUUGAGUCACAUCAAUUUUGCACAUAGUCGUAGUCCAGAUUUCCGCCUGGUUUGUGGAAUAGAUGGGUGUACUAAAGAGUACCGAGUCUACAACUCUUUUUGGUAUCAGAUCAGACGAACACACUCACAAUAUCUAGACGGCGUGAGUAGCAGCAGAUCCCAUCGGAGAGAGAGAUCAGCACAACACGAGGCAUCCGGUGAACCUAGAAGAACGGACAGCAACAACUUGUGGACAUAUAGUGGACCAACGCUGGUGGCUCAGGAUACUCGGAACUCAAGUGACAGUCCGGAUAAUGAAACGACACUGGAGAAUAAUGUGGAUUUUCAAACCUCUCGUCUUGUUCCUGUGGAACAUUUUGGUGAUUUUGAUGCUUUUGACACUGGUGAAACAGUUUUCUCUGGCUUAAGCAGUAACAACGUUUUGCGGUCUCCUCCGAACCUGGAAGUACAGGAUGUAUUACUAUUCGAAUCCCACUCCACCUAUUCCAAACAGGCCUUCAGAUGACUCAAGUUCUUCAUGCCUCCCCCAAGAAACCAUGAAUGACGAAUUAUCAAGUGAUGGUGUGCUAUCCAGACAUGCCACUGCUAUUGUGAUGACUGCUAGAGAGAAACAUCAUCUCUCACAGAGUGGUGUGAAUGAUGUUGUGGCUGUAGUUCAGGAGUAUCAAGCUCAUUUACUGAACAGCUUGAGGAGUCAGCUACAAACAGUAUUCAACAGACAUGCAGGAAGUGAACUUCAACGAGAAGCUUUGGGACUCUUUGACUCCUUUAUAGAUUCAUUUGCUGCAGUUUCAACAUCCUAUAGACAGGACAGUGUCAUAAAAGAAAAAUUCAAUUUUGUGGAAGCAGAAGAGGUUUCAGUCGGAUUAGCAGUAUGUCGUCAGAAAAGAAAAAAACUAAGAGACCUCGCAAUAAAAAACAAAUGUUUCCAUUAUAUACCCCUGAUAAAGAGUUUAGAACAAUUAAUGUCUCAUCCAAAAAUUUUUGCCAUGAUAAAUGGUGGAUCUCAGAAAUGCAGCAGUGGAUAUUUUUAUGACAUCAUAGAUGGCGAACUAAUGCUUUCACACCCUUUAUUUUCUUCUAGACCCUCUGCUUUACAGAUAAUCCUUUAUUCGGAUGAAAUCGAAAUUUGCAAUCCACUUGGGUCUCAUGCUUCAAAGAAUAAGUUGCUCAUGUUUUACUACACUUUGGGAAACAUUAAUCCAAAGUACAGGUAAAAAUUAGCUUCAAUCCGUCUUCUUGCUAUUGCAAAGCAAAGUGAACUCUCAGAAUGUGGAGUUGAUGCCAUAUUGGCAAGAUUGCAUGAGGACUUAGUAAAGCUAUAUAAUGCCGUGAAGAUUCAUCCUCCAUGUGGUGAACAUGAGAUAUAUGGAGCAGUGGUUUCCGUAUGUGGAGAUACUUUAGCUCAACAUGAGUUAUGUGGAUUUAAAGAGGGUGUGGGCUUUGCAUACAGUAAAUGCCAACAUUGUGAAUGUUCUUCUGAGGACAUGCAAAUGUUUUUUAAUAAAGAAAACUUUGAGCAAAGAACACUGGAAAGACAUAUUCGACAGUGCAGUGACAUUGAGAAAGCCAGUACUGAAUAUCUCAAGAACAGCCUUAAAACUACAUAUGGAAUAAACCGGAGGAGCAAAGUAAUGGAUUUCCCUGCCUUCAAUUUAAUCCAACAAACUCCUCAAGAUAUAAUGCAUGUAAUUCUUGAGGGCAUUGCUCCCUUGGAAAUUAAGUGUAUGCUGAAACAAUUGGUUCUUUUGGGACAACUGGACCUUGAUGCUUUCAAUGCUGAUAUCAUUGGAUUCCCAUACUCUCCACAAGAUACUAGAGAUAGGCCUAGCCCUAUUGCAUACAGUACGUUAGCUUCCAAUGACAACAAACUGAAGCAGUCAUCAGGUCAAAUGCUUGUUUUGCUCAAAAUAGUGCCCUUUCUAUUGGAUGUGAUUAAAGGUACUGCAUAUUUUUCCUUCAUUCUUGAGCUUCUGGAGAUUGUUCAAAUUUUGUUUUCACCAGUUAUUAGCCUUGAGACUACUGACAAGUUGAAAGUACUUAUUAAACAGCAUCUUAAACAUUUUAAGGACCUUUUCUCAGAGAACAACAUUACACCUAAACAACAUUGAUUCAUGUUCCAUCCCAGAUUAAACUGUUGGGACCAAUGCUCCGUCACAUGUGCAUGAGGUUCGCAUCCAAACAUUGUUUUUUUAAAAGAUGGGUUUCAAAGUCCUUAAUUAAGCAUAACCAAAUGUUUGAAUGCUGUCAGAAUGUAAACAGUUCCAACCACCCGAUUUUUGCCAGUGAAUGUGUAUUGGGACCAGUAUCAGAAGUAAAAAACAUGCCGUAUUUAAAAGGAAAAGUAAGGGACUACUUUGGAGUUGAUCAGAUAAACCAUGCAGUGUCUGUUAAGUGGAUUACUUUAAAUGGAAACAAAUACAUUAGUGACAAAACAUUACUAGUGUGUAUGGCAAAUGGUAGUAGUCUACCAGAAUUUGGACUUGUGAGGAACAUAUUCGUCAUAAAUUCAUCUUUGUAUUGUGAAUGUCAGAUGUACAGUACAGUCUGUUUUGACAGAGACUACAUGUCUUAUAAAAUUGAGGUUCCCAACCUGGCAGAGGCAACUGAACUAGUUAAUGCAGACAACCUUGUAGACUUCACACCGUAUUACAGUUUAAGUCACAGGGACAUUACAUACGUCCCUGUGAAAUAUUACCUCGGAGAUGUGAUUGAAU